This 425-nucleotide ribosomal RNA is filed under the name Drupella rugosa. RNAcentral describes it as "partial 16S ribosomal RNA". It matches the Rfam family "Bacterial large subunit ribosomal RNA", at positions 1928 to 2570 of the family's 2925-position model. The record is from RNAcentral. Lineage: Eukaryota; Metazoa; Mollusca; Gastropoda; Neogastropoda; Muricidae.
UUUUUGCGGUACUCUGACCGUGCAAAGGUAGCAUAAUCAUUUGCCUUAUAAUUGAAGGCUUGUAUGAAUGGUUUGACAAGAAUAAAGCUGUCUCUUUAUAAAUAAGUAUAAUUUUAUUUACAGGUGAAGAAGCCUGUAUUUUAUUGAAAGACAAGAAGACCCUAUCGAGCUUUAAAUAAGUUAAUAAAAAACGAAUUAUAUUUAUAUAAAGUCAAUUAUUAAAAAUUUUAGUUGGGGCGACUAAGGAACAGAUAAAGCUUCCUAAAAAUUUAAAUACCUUCAAGUAUUGAUCCAGAAUUUUUGAUUAAAGGAAUUAGUUACCGUAGGGAUAACAGCAUUAUCUUUUUUAAGAGCUCAAAUCGAAAAAAAGGUUUGUGACCUCGAUGUUGGACCAGAAUGUCCUGAAGAUGCAGCCGUCUUCAAGG